Leptopilina heterotoma is the source of this 2734-nucleotide RNA transcript. It is a transcript of the gene named alanine aminotransferase 1, with no coding region annotated. The transcript has 8 exons. NCBI's taxonomy places the organism in Eukaryota, Metazoa, Arthropoda, Insecta, Hymenoptera, Figitidae. The record is from RefSeq and is a predicted model, not a curated record.
UUAGACAUGUUGGAACUUGCAAAGAAUUGCGUGUAAAAGUGAUGUAAAUUUUAUUUAGUUUAACAGCUUUUUAAUGAUUUUUAUAUUAUUUGUGAUUGUUUAAAUUAGUUGAAUAGAAUAAUACUUGAAAGUAAAACUGGGCGAACUUGUUUUAUUGUUGUAAUAGUUGCUCAAAAUAUACUUUAGUGAAUAAUAGAGGUUAUGUUCAGUAUCCGGUAAAUACAUCCGGAUCAAAAUUUAAAAUUCUGAUCCAAGAAGUUGUUCUGAUCUAACAAUGAAAUUGUUAAAGAAAUUAAUAUUCAGCAAUUGCGAGUACACUAUUUACGGGAAUGCAAUUUUAAAACCGGUUUCAUCAGAAUGGAACGACUUGCGACGUUUAACAGGAUCUGUACACAAAGUUCUUACAAAGGACAAUGUUUUUGCUAAUUUUAAAUUCAUCGAAUAUCCAGGUUCUAAAUCGCCUUUUCUUGUUAGGGCGUAUGAAAUUGAAAAAGAACUUCUUAAGGGGAAUAUGAAAUCCUUUCAAGAAGUUAUCAAGGGAAACGUUGGUGAUGCAAUUGCAAUGGGUCAAAAGCCAAUUACAUUUCUGAGACAAGUUUUAGCACUUGCAAUUUUACCCGAACUUCUCAAAGAUCCACAAUAUCCAGAGGAUGCAAAAAAUCGUGUUAGGACAAUUUUAAAAAAUUGUAAUGGAAACAAUGUUGGUUCCUAUUCAGCAUCGCCUGGAAUUGAAAUUAUCAGAAGGCAUAUUGCGGAAUAUAUUCAAGAACGAGAUGGUUUUCCCAGCGAUUACAACAAUAUUAUCCUCUCAAAUGGAACUUCGGAUGGAAUUAAAUCAUUUUUAAAACUUUUUAAUGAACCAAUUAAUGAAAAACCAUCAGGAGUGAUGAUACCAAUUCCCCAAUAUCCAUUGUACUCGGCAAUAUUGUCGGAAUAUGGUUUAUCUCAAAUAGGUUAUUAUUUAAACGAGGAAAACAAAUGGUCUCUGGAUAUUAGCGAACUCGAGAGAUCUUACAGUGAAGCUGAGAAAAAUUCCAAUCCACGAGUAUUGGUUGUGAUAAAUCCUGGAAAUCCCACUGGUCAAGUUUUAUCUCAUGAGAAUAUUCAAGCUAUUGUUAAAUUUGCACACAAACGUCGUCUUUUCUUACUGGCUGAUGAAGUUUACCAGACAAACAUUUAUGGCGAAAAUUCAAAAUUCCAUUCCUUUAAAAAAGUCAUCAACGAAAUGGGUGAACCGUAUUCUCAAAUGGAACUUGCGUCUUUUAUGUCCAUCUCAAAAGGAUAUACGGGCGAAUGUGGUCUUCGUGGUGGAUACGCGGAAAUAGUGAAUAUGGAUUCUGACGUUAUGUCUUUGUUCUUAAAGUCCUUCUCGGCAGUUUUGUGUCCAAAUAUUCUGGGACAAAUAGCAAUGGAUGUGGUUGUGAAUCCUCCAAAACCUGAUGAACCUUCAUAUCCAAUUUUCAUAAAAGAGAAAAUGGAAACAUUAAAUUCGUUAGCCAAGAAAUCGUAUUUAAUGACUGAGACUUUAAACACAAUUCCUGGUUACAAGGUCAAUCGAGCAAUGGGAUCGAUUUUUGUUUUUCCAAGAAUCGAUUUUCCGCAGAAGGCCAUUGAGGCUGCAAAAAAAGUCAAUCAAUCGCCCGAUUUAUUUUACACAUUCAAAUUACUUGAGGCCACUGGAAUUUGUGUUUUAGCCGGUUCGUGGUUUGGACAAAAACCCGGAACCUAUCAUUUCAGAACAACAAUUCUACCACAAAAAGAAAGGGUAACAAAAAUGCUCACGUCCCUGAAGGAAUUUCAUUUAAAAUUUCUCGAAGAAUACAGCUGAUACGAGCGAAAGGAAAAAAAAAUUCAAAGGCCAAAAAUACUACUUCAAUAUUAUAAAUAACAAUUUAAACUGAAAAUGAAUUAAUUGAAUUUAACAUCUGUUAAUUGUGAAGGAUUUUAUUAAAUCGUUAAAAAUCAAAUUUAAAUAUUUAAAUCAGGAUUUCAUCGAUAAUUCAGAAACUUAACGUUACCGACUUUAAAUUGUUGGGUAUUUAGUUUAUCACAAGAAUCGCGAGGCUUGUGUUGAUCAUUCGUCUCGCGUCACAACAGAUUCGUAUUUAUCCAUUGACGGAAAAAUUAAUGAUUAACAGCACUGUACAGUGAACUAGAACUAGUUUUCAGUGACCUAAAAAUUUCGCAAAGUUCACGGAAGAUUCAAAAGUUUCUGCUGACACGGAUAAUCAAGAGGCUUAUAUAUAUUAUACAAUGGUAACUUUUUGAGAAAUCCAUCUACAAAUUACGAUCAGUAAAAUAGAUUUGUGAUGUAUGGACUAAUUUAAAAAAUUGUUAAACAUAAAGGACCCUGAAGAUAUUGUGCCUUUGCAGUUAGAAAUACACUGGAACUUUGAUUAUUGAGUCUCGACAAAAGUGAGAGGUACAGUUUGAAAAAGAGCCCUUUUUCUUCUACCAGCUAAAUAAUCGAUACGAGUCUGAAUAAUCUGGGUUUCAGUGUUAUUUCAAAUUUACAAAUAACAAAUUAAUAAUUGUUUUUUUGAAAAAGAGCGCGAUUAUUACUUUAAAUUCAAAAAAAAAAAAACACACACACAAGGACAGUAGUGCGCAGAACGGGUUCUCUAUACUCCAGAUUAUCAAAAGUCCCUGCGGGAGAGAAAAGAGAGCAGAGUUUUACACAUUGACAGCUGUUGAUAAGAAGCAUCGUUGGAAUUUUUAUUAUUUACACACUGUG